RNAcentral lists this unclassified non-coding RNA (236 nucleotides) under uncultured fungus. RNAcentral's name for it is "sequence contains ITS1". The record is from RNAcentral. Lineage: Eukaryota; Fungi.
GUAUUGUAUUGCGUUAAACGCGGCAUACAUUCCAUGAGACUUUAUUACGGCGCAUGUGUAAAGAUAUAGAACCACAGCCACAGGAGAACAGAGCCCCCCAAGGCCACAGAACUACAGAGGGUGCACAGGUGUGAGUGGAUGUGCAAACAGAGCGUGCACAUGCCCCAGUUUGAGGGCCAGCAACAACUCAUGUUGGCAAUUCGGUAAUGAUCCUUCCGCAGGUUCACCUACGGAAA